This 712-nucleotide long non-coding RNA is filed under the name Cyanistes caeruleus (blue tit). RNAcentral's name for it is "lncRNA (ENSCCEG00000020142.1)". Lineage: Eukaryota; Metazoa; Chordata; Aves; Passeriformes; Paridae. The record is from RNAcentral.
GAGAUGGCCAGCAUAUCCUCUGUGAAGAAUCUGCAGUGCUGAAACUCAUUCUUGCCUUCCAAAAUUUCGACUUUCCACAUUUUUCAAAAUCUGGGUCUUACAAAAAUUGAUCAGGAGCUGAAGUUAGGCCUCAACAGCCACUUGAAUUCUUUCCAUUAGCAGUUCUUAUUGUGGUGUGUAUAAAAGGGAGCUGCAGCAAAAGUGAUGCAUAUCCAGAACACCACCAGGCACCUCACAUUGGAAGAAAGUGGAUUAUUGGAAGCUAAUCUCAGGUUUAUUACUGGAUGCUGUGGAAUUAACACACGGGAGGCCUAUCUCUUUGCACCUGGGUGGGAUAAUGGCAGAAACUUCAGGUUAAUAAAACCUUCUCUUGCACGCACAAUCUAUUCAUUAUCUGCUUGUCUGUUUGUUUUUGUAGGAAUUUUAUUUCUUCUAUUUACCAGAUAUAUCAGGAGUCCUGUAACUUAUUAUAUUUAAGGAAGUAGCCACAGCAUAACACCUUUUCACAAAACCUUUUGUGAAAAAUGUAUUUUAAGAAGCAAACAACCUCUUUGUUUUUAUUUUAAAUUAUGCUGCCCUUAUAGGAACCAUUUUUUCUGCAUGUUUGCAUUAUUUUGAAAUAGAAAGCUUUAAUUACAACAUGAAAGGGAGCAUCUAAGAUUUUUGACAUGUAACAAAAAUAAAACAGUAUUAAAAUAUGACCCCUGGUACA